This 228-nucleotide unclassified non-coding RNA is filed under the name Hevea brasiliensis (rubber tree). The record is from RNAcentral. Lineage: Eukaryota; Viridiplantae; Streptophyta; Magnoliopsida; Malpighiales; Euphorbiaceae.
UAGAAGACCAAAACUUUUUUUUUUUGGAUGAUAUGCAACAUAACUGUAUAGAACGAGUAACAAAUGAGUUCCUAGAGUAGGUUAAUCGCUUAAUGUCCAAAUGUGCAACCAUUCAGCCCUGCUUGGGUUAUUCCUAUUUUAAAAAGCACAUGCUGUUUAUUUAGUUGUUCUCUUGUUUCCUUUAGGAUUUAUAUUAGUUUAGAUUGAGAAUUUAGAGAAAUAAAGAAG